Long non-coding RNA from Ziziphus jujuba (common jujube), 598 nucleotides. RefSeq lists it as uncharacterized. The record is from RefSeq and is a predicted model, not a curated record. The transcript is spliced from 3 exons. NCBI's taxonomy places the organism in Eukaryota, Viridiplantae, Streptophyta, Magnoliopsida, Rosales, Rhamnaceae.
UGGUGACCAUGUGUAUGACCCCACUCUAGAAGUAGACCUUUUGAAAGUUGUGGAGAAUUAUUCAGAAGACUCGUACAUUGGAUUAAGGUGGAAAGCAUAGGAUCAAAAUAAUUUACUAAAAAGAAUGGGGCCAUCUUAUCUUUGAUUAAGGAUAAACUUAUUGUACUAAAUUUAAACCAGCGUUGUAUGAUAUUUUAGGAUUCUCUUUAAAAAAGAAAGCAUACUUUACCAUAAACUAUCACUUUGCCAAUAUUAUUCAACGAGUUUCAUAUCCAACACUCAUUCAUCAGCUAGCUAGCUAGCGUGGACUGUCUUCGAUUGCUCUGCGAUCCAAUUGAGUGAAUUAAUUUGCAGCCAAGCAGCAGCUCUCCCGUUUCAGUAUAUAAUUGCUAAUGAUGACGUGGAAUACUAGAGGCUUUUGGAGGGUGAUGUUAAUACAACUCUUAAAAAGCUUUGGGAGGACCAUCAAACUACUGCUACCUCAUCACAACCCAACAUUACAUGAUAUAUUCAGAAUUAUCAGAAUCAGAAACAUCCGACUAGGAAAAAUCUUUCAUGCACUUAAACAUCUCCUUGUAGUGGCAAUGCUCUUUAGCUG